AUUGAACGCUGGCGGCAUGCUUUACACAUGCAAGUCGAACGGCAGCGCGGGGGCAACCCUGGCGGCGAGUGGCGAACGGGUGAGUAAUGCAUCGGAACGUAUCCUGUAAUGGGGGAUAACGUAGCGAAAGUUACGCUAAUACCGCAUACGCUCGAGAGAGGAAAGUGGGGGAUCGCAAGACCUCACGUUAUAGGAGCGGCCGAUGUCCGAUUAGCUAGUUGGUGGGGUAAAGGCCUACCAAGGCGACGAUCGGUAGCUGGUCUGAGAGGAUGAUCAGCCACACUGGGACUGAGACACGGCCCAGACUCCUACGGGAGGCAGCAGUGGGGAAUUUUGGGACAAUGGGCGAAAGCCUGAUCCAGCCAUGCCGCGUGCGGGAAGAAGGCCU
This 388-nucleotide ribosomal RNA is filed under the name uncultured bacterium. RNAcentral's name for it is "bacterial SSU rRNA". It matches the Rfam family "Bacterial small subunit ribosomal RNA", at positions 29 to 417 of the family's 1533-position model. The record is from RNAcentral.